Molecule: non-coding RNA, 367 nt
Filed under: Candidatus Yonathbacteria bacterium RIFCSPLOWO2_01_FULL_43_27
Lineage: Bacteria; Candidatus Yonathiibacteriota
Description: bacterial SSU rRNA
Rfam family: Bacterial small subunit ribosomal RNA
Source: RNAcentral
UUUUAAAAGAGUUUGAUCCUAGCUCAGGAUGAACGCUGGCGGCGUGGAUAAGGCAUGCAAGUCAAACGGCCCGCAAGGGCAGUGGCGAACGAGGUAGUAACACGUAGGUACAAACCCCCAAGUCAGGAAUAACUCGCCGAAAGGCGGGCUAAUACUUGAUGGUCUCUUCGGAGUAAAGAUUUAUCGCUUGGGGAUUGGCCUGCGGAGUAUCAGCUAGUUGGUAGGGUAAUGGCCUACCAAGGCAAUGACGCUUAGGGGAGGUGAGAGCCUGGCCCCCACCGAUGGUACUGAGACACGGACCAUACACCUACGGGUGGCUGCAGUCGAGAAUCUUCCACAAUGGACGAAAGUCUGAUGGAGCGACGCC